AUAUGAAAAUUUGAUUUCGACUCAAUAAAAUAAUUAGGUAUCUAAUUCAUAUA
This 53-nucleotide transfer RNA is filed under the name Conostigmus sp. MM-2013. RNAcentral's name for it is "tRNA-Arg". Lineage: Eukaryota; Metazoa; Arthropoda; Insecta; Hymenoptera; Megaspilidae. The record is from RNAcentral.